Molecule: ribosomal RNA, 378 nt
Filed under: Triticum aestivum (bread wheat)
Lineage: Eukaryota; Viridiplantae; Streptophyta; Magnoliopsida; Poales; Poaceae
Description: partial small subunit ribosomal RNA
Source: RNAcentral
AUGAUUACAAAUGCCCAAAAAAGUGGCCUGUUAGUGGGUCUGGCCUCUGAUCUAAUUCCUAAUGGGGUAGCAGUUCUCCAAUAUGCGGACGAUACCAUCAUAUGCCUGGAGCAUGACAUUGGCAAAGCUGUUAACUUGAAAAUGCUUCUUUAUAUGUUUGAAUUGAUGUCAGGGCUUAAGGUGAAUUUUCAGAAAAGCGAGAUUCUUACUGUGGGGGGUGAUGAUAAUGUGGUGAAUAUGUAUGCAGACUUAUUCCAUUGCGAGGUGGGCAGCUUCCCCAUCAAAUAUUUAGGGAUGCCUGUCAGUUACACCAAUCUCAGAAACUCAGAUUGGGAAUUCAUAGAUACUAAAUAUCUGAAAAAAUUUGAAGCUUGGAUU